UACGUAUGUCACGAGCGUUAUCCGGAUUUAUUGGGCGUAAAGCGCGUCUAGGUGGUUAUGUAAGUCUGAUGUGAAAAUGCAGGGCUCAACUCUGUAUUGCGUUGGAAACUGUAUAACUAGAGUACUGGAGAGGUAAGCGGAACUACAAGUGUAGAGGUGAAAUUCGUAGAUAUUUGUAGGAAUGCCGAUGGGGAAGCCAGCUUACUGGACAGAUACUGUCGCUGACGCGCAGGAAAGCGGUUGGGUAGCAAAACAGGGAUUUAGAUACCCCCCCCGUAGUCC
This 282-nucleotide ribosomal RNA is filed under the name uncultured bacterium. RNAcentral describes it as "partial 16S ribosomal RNA". It matches the Rfam family "Bacterial small subunit ribosomal RNA", at positions 524 to 796 of the family's 1533-position model. The record is from RNAcentral.